GACGAACGCUGGCGGCGUGCCUAAUACAUGCAAGUUGAGCGAUGAAGCUUGGUGCUUGCACCAAUUUGAAGAGCAGCGAACGGGUGAGUAACGCGUGGGGAAUCUGCCUUUGAGCGGGGGACAACAUUUGGAAACGAAUGCUAAUACCGCAUAACAACUUUAAACAUAAGUUUUCAGUUUGAAAGAUGCAAUUGCCUCACUCAAAGAUGAUCCCGCGUUGUAUUAGCUAGUUGGUGAGGUAAAGGCUCACCAAGGCGAUGAUACAUAGCCGACCUGAGAGGGUGAUCGGCCACAUUGGGACGGAGACACGGCCCAAACUCCUGCGGGAGGCAGCAGUAGGGAAUCUUCGGCAAUGGACGAAAGGCUGACCGAGCAACGCCGCGUGAGUGAAGAAGGUUUUCGGAUCGUAAAACUCUGUUGGUAGAGAAGAACGUUGGUGAGAGUGGAAAGCUCAUCAAGUGACGGUAACUACACAGAAAGGGACGGCUAACUACGUG
This 497-nucleotide ribosomal RNA is filed under the name uncultured bacterium. RNAcentral describes it as "partial 16S ribosomal RNA". It matches the Rfam family "Bacterial small subunit ribosomal RNA", at positions 28 to 507 of the family's 1533-position model. The record is from RNAcentral.